UUUUUUCUUUUUUUUUUUUUUACCACCAAACAACUAAUUUUGUCUUCCAAAAAAAGCUCUAGGGUUUAUUAACUGUGUAAUCACAAUUUACUGAGGUCCUCUCAUCAAAUUAGCCCUGCAACAAUGCAAUUUUUCCUUUAUUUUACUUCUUUUUCAAGAAGUGCUUUCCACUAUGCCUCUUAUUAAGACCGGCAGUCACUCUCCUCUAAUUUAGGUGUUUUUCUCAUGGCAACAGUUCAUUAUUACAGCUGCAGAAUUUUUAAAAUCCAAUUCUGGGCUUCCUUUUCCUUAUUUCCUAUGGCAUCAUAAAAUGUGUUGCCUUCAAAUUAUAGCAUAUUCCUUCAAAGGAAUAUGCUCUGUUGUUCUUUAGAAAAAGGAAUUUCAAUCUAGGAAUAAUUCGCUAAAUUUCUGAGACUAUUUGCUUGUUUGUUUUAUUUAUUCAUGUAUUUUACACUUAGGCUUUAUAAUAACAAGCUUCAAUAAACUAUAGUGUUAAAAUCCUUUUUUUUUUAAGUGUUCAUUUCUUUCAGCGUGUACAGCAAGAUAAAUUUACCGUAGUCUGCUUUUCUCCAUUUUACCUAUAGGGGUAUGGAAUUCAUACAGACUCUCACCAAUACCUAUAUCAAAACUUGCUUCUACAAAAUCACAGAAAUAUUCUUUAUCUAGUUCCUAGCACCCAUCUUAAUAUUUGCCCCUCAAAGGAACAGCAAAUAUCCCAAACGUCAAAUGAGUGCGUGAAUGGAAACCCAAAAAUAGAGCCCCGAAGAUCAAUGGAUGUGACUGAGAAAGCGUUUACAUUCUCAGGGGUAGAGUUCACUGUGUUUCUAAGUGGAUCAGAGAUAUGAUCCCCGGCCACUGUGAAUGGAAAGGAAACUAGAUGCCAUCAGAGGGAGAUACAAGUACUAAUGCAGUGAGGUAAUGCGGCAAAGAAUAGAAGAGUCAAGGAAUGAAAUGCUGCCCUGAGGAAUCUUAAAAUAAACUCAUCUUUGCAUCCCAACCAACAGAAGAAUGAGAAAAGACAAAGGACAGAAUUUCAGAGUUUAAAACCUUUGGAACUGAGAAGUGUGAACUUUUACUUCCUGUGCCUAUCAACUGAAGUUACACCCUGAGCCGUUGUAGCGUUAUCUCAGCAUGUUUUCCUAGGAAUAUAAUAAGCGAAAGAUUGCUGACAUCCUUCCAGUUUGGUGGGAGGGGGUCAAAAUGCUGACUCUCCACAUUGAGAGAUCCAGCAGGGGUGGCCCUGACACAUGCUCUGACUGGACAUUCCUGAGAAGGUUGCUGAAGCACAAAUUUCAAGCCAAAAUGCCUGGGAAAUGGUCAGCGCAGAGGGUUUUUGCACAUGCUAGGCACACUGCAGCAGCCUUUUUUGCAGAAAGCAAUUCAGCAGGCUGUCAAUCAAAGGUCCUGAGGCUGACAGACCAUGGACACCCACUUCUCACCUUGCUGGGCCAUCAGGACAAGGAGGAGAGAAAGUGGCUGACAGCCGAAAUCCCCUCAAUGAAGGAAAAUGAAAUAAAUCUAUUUAUAAAAGGAGUUUCUCCACUUUGGUCUUCUUUGCAAACCCAUCGUGAACCAUACUCUGAUUUCACCUAAAUCUCUGGAAGCCAAAUGAGGUGCUGUCAGAAAAGUAAAAGGGCACCACUUUUAGCAAUUUUCAUAAAAGCAGGUAUUUAUAGUUUUAACAUUUUUGUUUUGUUUUGUUUGCCAACAGUAUUUCUCAGUGGGAGGGACGUCUCACGUAUCCACUGAUUUCGCUUUCCUGGUAAAUCAAUUCUCAAUAAAUCAAGUGGCUUCUAGGUGAAUGUAUGUGAAGACAUUUAAGUAUAACAAUUAUUUUACUGUGUAUAGGAAGUGGAGGAAAAGACAAAAAGGUCUCUUUUUAUUUACUUGAGACCAGGGUUAAAAAUACUGAAAUCUUAUAUGGAGAUAGCCC
This is a long non-coding RNA of Macaca fascicularis (crab-eating macaque), 1933 nucleotides long. The record is from Ensembl. NCBI's taxonomy places the organism in Eukaryota, Metazoa, Chordata, Mammalia, Primates, Cercopithecidae.